This is a non-coding RNA of Vicia faba (fava bean), 270 nucleotides long. The record is from the annotation of a GenBank genome assembly. Lineage: Eukaryota; Viridiplantae; Streptophyta; Magnoliopsida; Fabales; Fabaceae.
AUGGCUGAUAAACAGGUCAUUGUCGUUGUCGAAAAUAAAAUUGUCAGGAGCAUUAGUGGGAAUGAGUCAACUGGGCAGAAGCCUUCUGUUUUCAACGUUGAGUUUGCCCUAGUCACUUAUAAUACUCAUGGGUGUUAUUCAGGUAUCCUUGUGCAACGCACUGGUUGGACAAGAGACCCUGAUGUUUUCUUACAGUGGCUAUCAUCUAUACCCUUUUCUGUGGCGGUUUUAAUGAUGCAGCAAUUGCUGAAGGACUUGCUGAAGCUCUGA